This 288-nucleotide long non-coding RNA is filed under the name Ananas comosus (pineapple). Its description in RNAcentral is "long non-coding RNA (ACOM_LNC032030)". Lineage: Eukaryota; Viridiplantae; Streptophyta; Magnoliopsida; Poales; Bromeliaceae. The record is from RNAcentral.
ACCGCACUGUAACUUUGUAAGGCUUCGUUUGGGAUUACGGAAAGAUUGCGUUACGUGCGGUGAGAAAGUACGUUAGAAAAAUAUCUUGUUUGUUUCCGUACGUAAUAUUGUGUUCCGUAUAUCGCAGUGAGUCGGUUACGAUAUAUUUUCUGCGGUCCCACCGGAGAACGCAGAAGCAUAUCCCUAUAUGCUUUUUUCUCAACUCUAUUCUAUCUAAUAGCGUUAGAUAGGCCUAAAUACCAAACUAAGCCUAAGAGCGACGCGAAAAAGCUCCAAAUUUGAAUAGAG